CGAACUUUGGUAGUAAAGUUGUCGAGAAGGAGAGACAUUUCUUUGCAAUAGGAGCCGGGGACUCGGAGAUUUUCAGUCGCUUCAAAUUAUUCGGCGAAUAUAUUACGUUAGAGACAAAGUCUACGAUGUGGUCGGAAUACAGAUGUUAUCGAAGAUUUGAUUGAGACUCGAACCUGAAGAAUUCUGGCGUCUUUCUCGGUUGAUGGAUCGGGUGUUCUUAGCUCGGCUUCCAGCCGAGCUACUUGCUUCUGCAGAUGCUUUACUAGCUGUUUUUCAGAAACUACCUGGAUGAGCGACGUACCAUAUUCACAUGAGCGUUGUUGGUCACUUCCUUGGCUCGACUAGCGAAAAAGAGAGUGUUACGAGAUUGCUCGGCGUGACUCGAUGCUGGACUCAAUGUACAUAUGAUAGCUGUACGAGCAUUUCCUCCCAACGAAUGCUGCAGUAUGCGCGUGAGCUUGGAGUCGCGAUACGUUGUAAGAGUCAUCAAGCUGAGGUUGAUAUGGCAGCCUUCUCUAAGCCGGGUGCCCUCGGCGUUUGUCUGCGAGGCCCUUUCGCUUCCGGCUAAAUCUACAAAGUUCUGCAAAACAAGGAGGAAUAAGCACAAGAGUUGUUACUAUUGCAUGCUAGAAGUAGAAGUUAAGGAAAUCAGGAUGCUCGGGAUUUACCAAGCUUGCAACGUACGAUCGUACGCAAUCUGAAUUUUCUCGGAGAGUACUUUCAAUUGUCUGCAUUCAACAACAGAUACAGCUUUCAGGUAAUUUGAUCUCAGAUUAAUAUAUAAUGAAGGAUGAAAAGAGACGACGAACCAGUCUUAUUAUUUGGUGCGAUCUUGAGCUAGUAUCGUUAAGAGCAGUUUCUCCGACUUGUCUUUGAGCUGCAAGAAUAUACAGUAUUGAGUUCAUUUUAAUGGCCUAACAACUGGUUUUCCCGACAAGGUUUAGUUUAGUUGCUUACCAUCGCAAAUUUGGAUCAGUUGUUUCAAAUGUUGGUCAUCCUUCGCGGUUUCUUCUACUAAUUUCUCAACAACAGUUCCUUUCUGCGAAAGAGAACAUCAAACUCAAUAGCUGAAGAAGGCAAGAUCAAAAGAUGAAAGUGAAGGGAGAGCUUGUAACCACCUCUGGAUCAUCGAGGAGCUUCAGAUUACGACCGGAUUCUGAAUUCAGUAGAUCCCUGACAUUCUCGUUGUAGAUUUCAAGGCCGGAUAUUUUUAUCUUGAAGUCUCGUUCCGGUGUCUGAAGUAGAGUAAUGUUUCAAUAGGUUUGUUAGAAUCUAAACAAAACAGACUCCUAAAGUAUUUCAAAUACAAUAUUAUCUACAACUUUCGAGCCUAUGUUCAAUUGCAUUACUUUCUCAUAUAUAACAGCAAGUGAAGCGAAGCUUACAUUGAUUAUAUGCAU
Molecule: long non-coding RNA, 1400 nt
Organism: Andrographis paniculata
Lineage: Eukaryota; Viridiplantae; Streptophyta; Magnoliopsida; Lamiales; Acanthaceae
Exons: 4
Source: RefSeq, a predicted model, not a curated record